GCACGAGAAAGAGGGGGCAACUCCUUGAGUAAAGUGGCGUACGGGUGAGUAACACGUGACUAACCUACCUCCGAAUGGGGAAUAACACCGGGAAACCGGUGCUGAUACCGCAUAACAUCUACGGAUCAAAGCAGCAAUGCGUUUGGAGAGGGGGUCGCGGCUGAUUAGCUAGUUGGUGAGGUAAUGGCUCACCAAGGCGACGAUCAGUAUCCGGCCUGAGAGGGCGCACGGACACACUGGAACUGAAACACGGUCCAGACUCCUACGGGAGGCAGCAGUGGGGAAUUUUGCGCAAUGGGGGAAACCCUGACGCAGCAACGCCGCGUGGAGGAUGAAGGCCUUCGGGUCGUAAAACUCUGUUGUUAGGGAAGAACAAGUACCGGAGUAACUGACGGUACCUUGACGGUACCUAACCAGAAAGCCACGGCUAACUACGUGCCAGCAGCCGCGGUAAU
Molecule: ribosomal RNA, 455 nt
Filed under: uncultured bacterium
Lineage: Bacteria
Description: bacterial SSU rRNA
Rfam family: Bacterial small subunit ribosomal RNA
Source: RNAcentral